Molecule: non-coding RNA, 135 nt
Organism: Triticum aestivum (bread wheat)
Lineage: Eukaryota; Viridiplantae; Streptophyta; Magnoliopsida; Poales; Poaceae
Source: Rfam
UUUGUACCCCCUCCGUCCCAAAAUUCUUGUCUUAAAUUUAUCUAAAUACGGAUGUAUCAAGUCAAGUUUUAGUAUUAGAUACAUCCAUAUCUAGACAAAUUUAAGACAAGGAGUUUGGGACGGAGGGGGUAAACU